GGUGUACAACGGUGCAUUGAUACAUAAGUAUGAAGGGACAUCAUGUCGAGCUAUACAUGGAAGAUAAUGUGCAUGAUGUUUAUGCGAAUAUAACCAAUAUCGUCCUGAUUAACGGUAUCCAAAGUUAUUAUCUCAUGACUAUGGAAAUAGAUAGGUAACAAUUUUGUUUACUUGAAAAAACAUACCUGUUCUGAAUAAAAUUCACAAUUUGUGGUCUUGCUAGCAGUAAAAUAGUUUAGCAACAGAUCCUUACACAUUCAAAUUUCAAGGCCUGAUUGAGGUUGAAAUAAAUACUUGAAGGCCAGAUCUGUUCCUUAUGUAGCUUGCUUCCCCUCG
RNAcentral lists this long non-coding RNA (336 nucleotides) under Zea mays. RNAcentral's name for it is "long non-coding RNA (ZMAY_LNC003575)". Lineage: Eukaryota; Viridiplantae; Streptophyta; Magnoliopsida; Poales; Poaceae. The record is from RNAcentral.